This is a long non-coding RNA of Lycium ferocissimum, 596 nucleotides long. RefSeq lists it as uncharacterized. The record is from RefSeq and is a predicted model, not a curated record. The transcript is spliced from 2 exons. NCBI's taxonomy places the organism in Eukaryota, Viridiplantae, Streptophyta, Magnoliopsida, Solanales, Solanaceae.
GAUUUUUGUUUGUUUUUAUUUCAUUUACAGUUGUGAGGGACGAUUAUGACCGUUGAGUUUCUAUGAAUCUUGAAUUUGAGCCCUUCCUUUGCAAUCUGGGCUUAAAUCUGUGAAUUCCCACAUCGUUAUUGUGAGUCUUAAGUGCGGAAACCCCUUCCACAAGUAAAAGAGGUUGCGUCUUGAAAAGAAUUAAGAAAUUUGAGAUUUAAAAGCUCUCAAAAGUUGAACUUUUUAGUUUUCUUAAGGUUAUUUCGAUUUGCUCGAAAACCUAGUCUAAAUUCUAGUUCUUUAUUUUAUUUUGUUAUUGGGCUUGUGUUUGGAGAGGGAGUCCCUUUCAAAUCCCCAUUUGGUCUUGGCCGUGCCCAAAAAAGGCCCAAGUAGGAAUACUACUUCAAAAAAUAGAGUCCGGAAGACGAAGAAGAUAGCGAGGCGCGCAGAAAGCCCAGCCAUCGGUGAAACUGGCCAACUAGGGGCUUGGUACGCCCCUAGUCUAACCUAGUCUCUUUAUAUUUUGUUCAAAGGCUUGUUUUUCAUUUUGAUGUGGUUGUACAAAUGUACUCAAACUCAUGUUAUAGUGGAAAUCCUUAUGAUUGGAA